GAUGAACGCUGGCGGCGUGCCUAAUACAUGCAAGUCGAGCGAACAGACGAGGAGCUUGCUCCUCUGACGUUAGCGGCGGACGGGUGAGUAACACGUGGAUAACCUACCUAUAAGACUGGGAUAACUUCGGGAAACCGGAGCUAAUACCGGAUAAUAUAUUGAACCGCAUGGUUCAAUAGUGAAAGACGGUUUUGCUGUCACUUAUAGAUGGAUCCGCGCCGCAUUAGCUAGUUGGUAAGGUAACGGCUUACCAAGGCAACGAUGCGUAGCCGACCUGAGAGGGGGAGCGGCCACACUGGAACUGAGACACGGUCCAGAAUCCUACGGGAGGCAGCAGUAGGGAAUCUUCCGCAAUGGGAGAAAGCCUGACGGAGCAACGCCGCGUGAGUGAUGAAGGUCUUCGGAUCGUAAAACUCUGUUAUUAGGGAAGAACAAAUGUGUAAGUAACUAUGCACGUCUUGACGGUACCUAAUCAGAAAGCCACGGCUAAAUACGUG
Molecule: ribosomal RNA, 497 nt
Filed under: uncultured bacterium
Lineage: Bacteria
Description: partial 16S ribosomal RNA
Rfam family: Bacterial small subunit ribosomal RNA
Source: RNAcentral